UACAGGACGAACGCUGGCGGCAUGCUUCAUACAUGCAAGUCGAACGAUAAGGUCUCUUCGGAGAUACAUAAGUGGCGGACGGGUGAGUAAUAUGUAGGAAAUCUGCCCUAGAGAGGGGGACAACAGAGGGAAACUUCUGCUAAUACCCCAUAUGAGCGUACCUGAAAUGGUAUUCUUGAAAACUCCGGUGCUCUAGGAUGAGCCUGCAUCUGAUUAGCUUGUUGGCGGUGUAAUGGACCACCAAGGCGACGAUCAGUAGCUGGUUUGAGAGGAUGAUCAGCCACAAUGGGACUGAGACACGGCCCAUACUCCUACGGGAGGCAGCAGUAGGGAAUUUUGCGCAAUGGGCGAAAGCCUGACGCAGCAAUGCCGCGUGAACGUAGAAGCCCUUCGGGGUGUAAAGUUCUGUCAGUGGGGACGAAUUUUGACGGUACCCACAGAGGAAGCACCGGCUAACUCCGUGCCAGCAGCGGC
RNAcentral lists this ribosomal RNA (474 nucleotides) under uncultured bacterium. RNAcentral describes it as "bacterial SSU rRNA". It matches the Rfam family "Bacterial small subunit ribosomal RNA", at positions 26 to 518 of the family's 1533-position model. The record is from RNAcentral.